UGUGCCACCAGGGGCCCAGGAGGUCCUGUGGCAGUGAGGGGCACCCAUGAGAUAAAAGUCUUCCCCAUGAUGCCUUCAGAUUUUAGCUUUUAUAUUUUUCAGAUCCUGUACUGCAUUAGUGUAGAGCUCUGAAAUGCAUAUUGAGUGUUAGAAGCUCUCUUCACAUUUUGGCCAGACAAAAAUCCCUCUGGGCCUGCAGCUCAAGGACGCCCUCUGCCUCAGGCCCCAAAAGUAUAAACAAGAAAAUUAAAUAUUAAAAAUCUGCUGCAGAGAAGAAACCAUAACUGCCAUAAGCCUGUUCCUAUGGUUCUUUCAGAAGAAAUCAGCCUCCCACCAGUGAGCUCUGAACAUGAAAUGGCUCCAAAUUGCUGCGUCCCUCCCGUGUGAGGAAGGCUUCUCAAAAGUGGCUCAAGACUCGUGUUCUUCUCCUUCCCCAUCCCAGCACGGCCCUACAGAAGGUUGUGCACUCCCAAAGAUGCCAAAGCAGCAUUACUUACACUCCAGGCUCCUCCUGGCACUUCUCUCUUUCCCUCUCAGGCUGACCCUCGAGCUGCUGUGAGUGUCCUGUGUCCUGUGUCCCCGUGGGGCUGUGGCAGUGCCAACCUGCUUUAAAUACUCCCUGCACCUUUAGCCCUGCGUUUCCACCUGUUGUGCCUUAAAGGAACAACAUCCAGCAGUGCUGCCAGGACCAGAAGACCCCUGUUGGCUCUGGGUGCAUUGGAGUGAGAACAUGAAAUCACCAAAUUUUUGAGCCACUAUUCCACUAAUUUUUUUCAGUGGAGUCCUUCUCACUGGUACAAAUUCCUCCAGAUUAGAUACAGUUUAAAAUAUUUUCUGAGAUGAUUUUUACAGGAGCUUUUCUCUAAAAAGCAUCAACAAUCUGAGACUCUUACAUAGAAGCUGGUCAUCCUGAUAGUUCCAAGGAUAGCAGAGAUUGUCCUGCACAACAGAACAAAAGAGAAUGACAUGGUUGCAACACUGAGAACAAUAAUUACUUUUGUCUAAUACUGAGAAAGGAGAUAUGAAAUCAGAAUUUACUGAAAGAGGCAGGAAGUGAGAUAACAGCUUUACUGCUUGCAAUCAGAAAUUAUAAUCGACCCUACAAUAAAUAUAUAAACUUGA
This is a long non-coding RNA of Passer domesticus (house sparrow), 1122 nucleotides long. RefSeq lists it as uncharacterized. The record is from RefSeq and is a predicted model, not a curated record. The transcript is spliced from 3 exons. Lineage: Eukaryota; Metazoa; Chordata; Aves; Passeriformes; Passeridae.